Molecule: ribosomal RNA, 464 nt
Filed under: uncultured bacterium
Lineage: Bacteria
Description: partial 16S ribosomal RNA
Rfam family: Bacterial small subunit ribosomal RNA
Source: RNAcentral
CUACGGGGCGCAGCAGUGAGGAAUUUUGCGCAAUGGGGGAAACCCUGACGCAGCAACGCCGCGUGAGCGAAGAAGGCCUUCGGGUCGUAAAGCUCUGUCAAGUGGGAAAAAAAUUCUUUGAUGAACAGUCAAAGGACUUGAUGGUACCACUGGAGGAAGCACCGGCUAACUCCGUGCCAGCAGCCGCGGUAAUACGGAGGGUGCAAGCGUUGCUCGGAAUUACUGGGCGUAAAGAGCGUGUAGGCGGUUUGACAAGUCAGAUGUGAAAGCCCCGGGCUCAACCCGGGAAGUGCAUUUGAAACUGUUUCACUAGAGUAUGGGAGAGGGGAUUGGAAUUCCUGGUGUAGAGGUGAAAUUCGUAGAUAUCAGGAGGAACACCCGUGGCGAAGGCGAUUCUCUGGACCAAUACUGACGCUGAGACGCGAAAGCGUGGGGAGCAAACAGGAUUAGAUACCCCGGUAGUC